RNAcentral lists this non-coding RNA (222 nucleotides) under Gottschalkia purinilytica. RNAcentral's name for it is "Clostridium purinilyticum T-box sequence". It matches the Rfam family "T-box leader". From Rfam's summary of the family: Uncharged tRNA acts as the effector for transcription antitermination of genes in the T-box leader family. Lineage: Bacteria; Bacillati; Bacillota; Tissierellia; Tissierellales; Gottschalkiaceae. The record is from RNAcentral.
UUAAAUUCAAUGAAGGGAAGAGUAAGAUAUACAAUUGUUAAAGCGAGUCGGGAAUGGUGUAAGCCUGAUACACGUGUGUAUCUGAAAAGAGACCUAGAGAAGCUAUCUGAAAGUAAAAAGUAAGACUUGACGUAUUCCUACGUUACAGGAUAGAGUGGAUAUACAUAUAUGCUAUGUAUAUCAAUUAGAGUGGCAACACGGGAAAUUUAUCUCGUCUCUUUC